RNAcentral lists this unclassified non-coding RNA (344 nucleotides) under uncultured fungus. RNAcentral's name for it is "partial contains 5.8S ribosomal RNA and internal transcribed spacer 2". The stretch from base 1 to 133 matches the Rfam family "5.8S ribosomal RNA", at positions 22 to 154 of the family's 154-position model. Lineage: Eukaryota; Fungi. The record is from RNAcentral.
UGGCUCUGGCAUCGAUGAAGAACGCAGCGAAAUGCGAUAAGUAAUGUGAAUUGCAGAAUUCAGUGAAUCAUCGAAUCUUUGAACGCACAUUGCGCCCGCUAGUAUUCUGGCGGGCAUGCCUGUCCGAGCGUCAUUUCAACCCUCGAGAACCCCUUCGCAGGGGGAUCGGUGUUGGGGAUCGACCGCCCUCAGCGGCGGACGUCCCCUAAAACUAGUGGCGGUCUCGCUGUAGCCUCCUCUGCGCAGUAGCUCUGUAUUCUCGCAGCCUGGAGAGCGGCGCGGCCACGCCGUAAAACCCCAACUUUUUCAAGGUUGACCUCGGAUCAGGUAGGAAUACCCGCUGA